CCUCACUGGAUCCACACUCCAAAAGAAAGCUCUCUGGGAGCUGAAACAAUGUGUGGAACAUGUAUUCAACCAUGCUGGCAUCCCAAGACCUGAAAGAAAGAAAACCGAAGUGAAUGUGAAUGCUUUGGAGGAUCCUAACCAAGAGAACCUUGGCUAACUUCCUUCCUCAAAAUUGGGGCAGUGGAGCUAUGAGUGAACAUUUGUACUGGAACCCAAACUCCUAAGGCAUUGCACAACAGUGGUACAAAUAAAUGUUCUUUAUCACAGGAAGUCUAAGAGUUCAGUGUUUACACGGAACGUACAUGAACUUUGAUUGUUCCUAAAGCAAUUUACCUGUAAGGUAAUUUAUGCAGGCUUCUAACACCAAACAUUUAACACUUAACAGUGAGCAGUUUUCUACAAGUAAAUGGGAAAUAAUCACUUUUUAGGUUUUUAAAAGAAGUGACUUUGCUAUUCAAUUCUCCAAAGAAACCCAGCCAGCCACCACUUAUGUUUAGAGGACCAAAGGGACACCCAGCUGAGAUCUCUUCAUCUGAUAUUCAAUGAAUUGAGUUUAGCAUUUUUGCUGUACUGUGUUAACUUUGAGAAUGUCGAGUUUCAGCUUGUUCCCACCAUGGAUCACUGACAACUCAGUUUCAA
Molecule: long non-coding RNA, 639 nt
Organism: Leopardus geoffroyi (Geoffroy's cat)
Lineage: Eukaryota; Metazoa; Chordata; Mammalia; Carnivora; Felidae
Exons: 3
Source: RefSeq, a predicted model, not a curated record